GAAGACGGACGUGCGCUCUGCGCACUCGCUCAGUUUCUGGUUGGCUCUCGUAGAGAGCAGACGUGUGUUCUCCGCGCUCGCUCAGUUUCUGCCUGGAAGUUGCCGCGGGGGAAAAGAGCCAUGGAGGAAGGAAACACAGGAGCGGCCCUUCGAACUUUUUGCCAUUGGGACGGGCGUGCCCGGCGUGCCAGCUUCGCACUGCAUUCUGGGAUGCUCCUGUCUACCAUGUGACCGCUCACGUGACCCCAAGAGCAUGCGCAGGCCAGCUGCCAAAGCAGACGACAGGAGUCGUGAUUGCCUUGCAGUUGAGGUAUCUGCAUUGUGAUGAACGCCGCGCGUCCAGCUUUAUUUGUGUGUGUUCGGAGGUUUACUCUCGGUUUACCCUUCUACUACAAGACCGGUCAGGGUCUGCAGGACAACCACGCAGGACUAGAAACAUCAUUCGCGGCAGCGAUGUUUGUGUGACGACGUGGCCGCGUUUUGUGUGUUUAUUGCUGAAGUGCCACAAAGUGAAGCAUGCCAGUAAUCAAAUUUGUACAACGGUGGAGGAAAUCAAUUGACUCUGCAGCUGUAUCACAGCGCCAGCUUGGAAAGGAACGAUUCAAGAUGACUCUCUCACGGACAGGGGUACGAAACAACCGGUCAAGUACGUGCUUACGAAGGAAACGUUAUUCCCGUGACAGAGCUGCUUUCUGUUGAACGACAGCCGCAACCGCGGUAAGAACACGUUAACAAAACGUUGUUUCCGCAGUGGUGCUCACAUUUUAAGAGUAAGUGACUUUGGAAAAACAUAAAAGCACGAAAAGCAGCGCUAGCAACAAAGCGUUUCCAAACCGAAACUUUAGAGAGGAUCACGUGGUGGACAGGAAGUAAUGGCGGUUUUGACAGGAGUGACCGCCAGAGGGGUCCCACGGAAAUCUGCUCGAAACGGCCGCUCCUGUGUUUCCUAACUCCAUGUCUAGAGCUAUGAUGGUGGCGCCAUCUGGUGUGAUGCCUUGCAACUAAGUGGCCACCUGUCGUCGAUCUCUGCAACUACCAGUCGUCAACAAGCAACAUGGCGGGCGCUGGUCACUCGGGUGUUGCGGAGCGGGUUCUUCGCCGCGGCAUCGUUGAUUUUCGAAUAAAUUGUUUCUCUCCACUCUA
Long non-coding RNA from Ornithodoros turicata, 1143 nucleotides. RefSeq lists it as uncharacterized. The record is from RefSeq and is a predicted model, not a curated record. Lineage: Eukaryota; Metazoa; Arthropoda; Arachnida; Ixodida; Argasidae. The transcript is spliced from 2 exons.